Cucumis sativus (cucumber) is the source of this 328-nucleotide long non-coding RNA. RefSeq lists it as uncharacterized. NCBI's taxonomy places the organism in Eukaryota, Viridiplantae, Streptophyta, Magnoliopsida, Cucurbitales, Cucurbitaceae. The record is from RefSeq and is a predicted model, not a curated record. The transcript is spliced from 2 exons.
UUCUUCAAUUACUUGCAAAUUUGGUGAGUUCCUUCAAACGGUGGGCGAAGAGCUUAAUUUUGAGAGAGAGAAAAAGUCGUGAAGAGUAUUUGCGAGAGAGGGGGAACGUCGCCAGAGAGCAUUUGCGAGAGAGCUAAAGACAGUGACGAUGUGGGAUGAAGUAAGGUUUUUUUCGGUCAUUGUUCACAAGUGGGAUGAAAGCUUCGAAUUAUUUGUUUUAAAUCAAAAAGCAUAUGAUUGAAGGAAAACAUUGAUUUUUUAUUAGGGUAAUUUUUAAUGACACAUAAUUUAUGCCAUUAUUUACAAUGCGAAAAUUUUGUCAAGAAAA